This is a non-coding RNA of Myotis daubentonii (Daubenton's bat), 511 nucleotides long. Lineage: Eukaryota; Metazoa; Chordata; Mammalia; Chiroptera; Vespertilionidae. The record is from the annotation of a RefSeq genome assembly.
CCAACCAGAGCCCCCAGAGCUGGCAGACACCAGUGUGACGCUGCCAUGGGCCCUCAGCUCCUGGGCUGUGUCAUGCUUUGUCUCCUAGGAGCAGGUCCUACUGAAGCCGAAGUGACCCAGACCCCAAGACACCUCAUUACAGAGACCAAAAAGAAGUUGACAGUGACUUGUUCUCAGAAUAUGGACCACGAAUUGAUGUACUGGUAUCGACAAGGCCCAGGGCUGGGUCUAAAGCUGAUCUAUUAUUCAAUUAAUGUUGAUCAUUUUGAAAAGGGAGAGGUUUCUGACGGGUACACGGUGUCUCGAACAGAGAAGAAGAAUUUCCCACUGACCCUGGAGUCAGCCAACAUCAGCCAGACCUCUCUGUAUCUCUGUGCCAGCAGGUAACCACAGCACUGCAUGGCCAGCUGCUCUCCACACAAAAAAGCAGCCACAGAGCAAGGAGGAUCCUCCCUUGAGAGGCCCCACCCAACCAGGAGGAAAACCUUCCCCCACCAUCAGUGCCCAUAGA